This 298-nucleotide long non-coding RNA is filed under the name Ictidomys tridecemlineatus (thirteen-lined ground squirrel). RNAcentral describes it as "lncRNA (ENSSTOG00000031961.1)". The record is from RNAcentral. Lineage: Eukaryota; Metazoa; Chordata; Mammalia; Rodentia; Sciuridae.
CUGGAGGCGCCUGUCACAUGAGCCGCGCGCCCGCUCCGCUCCCCCUCCUCCCUGACUGGGCUGUGUGAAUGAAGCUCUGCCGGCUACGUGGGGCGCUAGCUCAACUUAGUGUACUGGACGCCGGAGCCGCCUGAGCGCGCUGCCCACCGGCAGCGGACACAGACUCCGCAGCUCCUAACCUCGGCGACAGAGCAAAUCAGUUGCCCGGAGUUCCGAGUGAAGUUGUACGUGUGCCCAUGCGAUAACGUCAGUGGAAACUGCCCCCCCCCCAUAAAUGAGGGAAAUACAGAAGUUGGAG